This 416-nucleotide ribosomal RNA is filed under the name uncultured bacterium. RNAcentral's name for it is "bacterial SSU rRNA". It matches the Rfam family "Bacterial small subunit ribosomal RNA", at positions 334 to 742 of the family's 1533-position model. The record is from RNAcentral.
UACUCCUACGGGAGGCAGCAGUGGGGAAUUUUGGACAAUGGGGGCAACCCUGAUCCAGCAAUGCCGCGUGUGUGAAGAAGGCCUUCGGGUUGUAAAGCACUUUUGUCCGGAAAGAAAUCCUCUGCCCUAAUAUGGCGGGGGGAUGACGGUACCGGAAGAAUAAGCACCGGCUAACUACGUGCCAGCAGCCGCGGUAAUACGUAGGGUGCAAGCGUUAAUCGGAAUUACUGGGCGUAAAGCGUGCGCAGGCGGUUCGCUAAGACAGAUGUGAAAUCCCCGGGCUUAACCUGGGAACUGCAUUUGUGACUGGCGGGCUAGAGUAUGGCAGAGGGGGGUAGAAUUCCACGUGUAGCAGUGAAAUGCGUAGAGAUGUGGAGGAAUACCGAUGGCGAAGGCAGCCCCCUGGGCCAAUACUG